CCCUGAUGUUAGCGCCGCGUGACGGGUGAGUAACACGUGGGUAACCUGCCUGUAAGACUGGGAUAACUCCGGGAAACCGGGGCUAAUACCGGAUGGUUGUUUGAACCGCAUGGUUCAAACAUAAAAGGUGGCUUCGGCUACCACUUACAGAUGGACCCGCGGCGCAUUAGCUAGUUGGUGAGGUAACGGCUCACCAAGGCGACGAUGCGUAGCCGACCUGAGAGGGUGAUCGGCCACACUGGGACUGAGACACGGCCCAGACUCCUACGGGAGGCAGCAGUAGGGAAUCUUCCGCAAUGGACGAAAGUCUGACGGAGCAACGCCGCGUGAGUGAUGAAGGUUUUCGGAUCGUAAAGCUCUGUUGUUAGGGAAGAACAAGUACCGUUCGAAUAGGGCGGUACCUUGACGGUACCUAACCAGAAAGCCACGGCUAACUACGUGCCAGCAGCCGCGGUAAUACGUAGGUGGCAAGCGUUGUCCGGAAUUAUUGGGCGUAAAGGGCUCGCAGGCGGUUUCUUAAGUCUGAUGUGAAAGCCCCCGGCUCAACCGGGGAGGGUCAUUGGAAACUGGGGAACUUGAGUGCAGAAGAGGAGAGUGGAAUUCCACGUGUAGCGGUGAAAUGCGUAGAGAUGUGGAGGAACACCAGUGGCGAAGGCGACUCUCUGGUCUGUAACUGACGCUGAGGAGCGAAAGCGUGGGGAGCGAACAGGAUUAGAUACCCUGGUAGUCCACGCCGUAAACGAUGAGUGCUAAGUGUUAGGGGGUUUCCGCCCCUUAGUGCUGCAGCUAACGCAUUAAGCACUCCGCCUGGGGAGUACGGUCGCAAGACUGAAACUCAAAGGAAU
Molecule: ribosomal RNA, 845 nt
Filed under: Bacillus subtilis
Lineage: Bacteria; Bacillati; Bacillota; Bacilli; Caryophanales; Bacillaceae
Description: bacterial SSU rRNA
Rfam family: Bacterial small subunit ribosomal RNA
Source: RNAcentral